GAGCGAGGUUUUAAAAGCUUGCUUUUAAAACCUAGCGGCGGACGGGUGAGUAACACGUGGGCAACCUGUCUGUAAGACUGGGAUAACACCGGGAAACCGGUGCUAAUACCGGAUAAUCCUUCUUCUCACAUGAGGGGAAGCUGAAAGACGGUUUCGGCUGUCACUUACAGAUGGGCCCGCGGCGCAUUAGCUAGUUGGUGGGGUAACGGCCCACCAAGGCGACGAUGCGUAGCCGACCUGAGAGGGUGAUCGGCCACACUGGGACUGAGACACGGCCCAGACUCCUACGGGAGGCAGCAGUAGGGAAUCUUCCGCAAUGGACGAAAGUCUGACGGAGCAACGCCGCAUGAGCGAAGAAGGCCUUCGGGUCGUAAAGCUCUGUUGUCAGGGAAGAACAAGUACCGGAGUAACUGCCGGUACCUUGACGGUACCUGACCAGAAAGCCACGGCUAACUACGUGCCAGCAGCCGCGGUAAU
RNAcentral lists this ribosomal RNA (477 nucleotides) under uncultured bacterium. Its description in RNAcentral is "bacterial SSU rRNA". It matches the Rfam family "Bacterial small subunit ribosomal RNA", at positions 64 to 524 of the family's 1533-position model. The record is from RNAcentral.